This 817-nucleotide ribosomal RNA is filed under the name Enterococcus durans. RNAcentral describes it as "bacterial SSU rRNA". It matches the Rfam family "Bacterial small subunit ribosomal RNA", at positions 28 to 832 of the family's 1533-position model. The record is from RNAcentral. Lineage: Bacteria; Bacillati; Bacillota; Bacilli; Lactobacillales; Enterococcaceae.
GACAACGCUGGCUGCAUCGCUUACUUUUUACCACCGAGUAGUCUUCGCUCCACCGAGAAGAGAGGAGUGGCGAACGGGAGAGUAACACGUGGGUCCCCUGCCCAUCAGAGGGGGAUCACUCUUGGAAACGGGUGCUAAUACCGUAUAACACUCGAAACCGCGGGGUUUUGAUUUGAAGGGCGCUUUCGGGUGUCUCUGAUGGAUGGACCCGCGGUGCAUUAUCUAGGUGGUGAGGUAACGGCUCACCGGGGCCACGAUGCAUACCCGACGUGAGAGGGUGAUCGGCCACUUUGGGACUGACACACGGCCCACACUCCUAGGGGAGGCAGCAGUAGGGAAUCUUCGGCAAUGGAAGAAAGUCUGACCGAGCAACGCCGCGUGAGUGAAGAAUGUUUUCAGAUCAUAAAACUCUGUUGUUAGAAAAAAACAAAGAAGAGAGUAACUGUUCCUCCCGUGACGGUAUCUAACCAGAACGCCACGGCUAACUACGUGCCAGCAGCCGCGGUAAUACGUAUGUGGCAAGCGUUGUCCGUAUUUAGUGGGCGUAAAGCGAGCGCAGGCUUUUUCUUAUGUCUGAUGUGAACCCCCCCGGCUCAACCGGGGAGGGUCAUUGGACACUGAGAGACUUGAGUGCAGAAGAGGAGAGUGCAUUUCCGUGUGUAGCGGUGAAGUGCAUAUAUAUGUGGGAAGAACACCUGUGGCGAACGCGUCUCUCUGCUCUGUAACUGACUCUGACGCUCGAAAGCGUGGAGAGCAACAAGAUUAUAUACCCUGCUACUCCACGCCAUAGACGAUGAGUGAUAGUGUAGGAGGGUCU